GCCACUUCCUGCUCCCCAGGUCCAGUUAAAGUGACAUCAUCAGUAGAGCAGACCACUAUAAGUUUCUGCAGAAGUUCCAGGUAAACCAAGUCCUUUUAUCAUGAGAGUGUUAACAUGACCCUGGGUCAAGAUCACGAAUGUACUAUUAUUCAUUCCAGGUGUCAGAGUGACCGAUGAAAUAGGGACAUGGUGAAGACCGGGGCUCUUCCGUCUGGUGGUGCACACCUCUGAGAGUGAUACUCAAUCUCCAUGAUUCCAUUCAGUAAAAAUCAGGAGCUGUUGUUAUUAAUCUUCAUAAGCCCAGGAUGCUUGGGUGAUAUAAGAGUGUUCAGUGAAUGGUUGCUGCAGGAAUAAACCCAGGAUCCAGCUAACAGGUUCAGCUCUCUUUUCUACACUUCAGUCCAUUAGGAGUGUAGGAGGUAGGAUUUGAGAAGACAGAGGAAGACUGAACUCUCUAAGUCUUUUCCUACUGAAGUUUUCUCCCAAGUUGCGCUGCAGUCCAUGGGGUUGUGAAGAGUCGGACAGAGUGACUGAACUGACUUCCAUUCUCAAAGAAUAUCCUAGUAGAACAACAGAUGCUGGGAGUUGUAAGGAAAGGAGGGGGAUGGGGAGAAAAAAUAAAAGAAGAAACGGGCCAAGCACAAUUUAAAUGCUGAGGGAGUGUGCCACAUUACUUAAUUUGAGCUGCACGAUGCAAAACAAAACAAAAAUUAUCCGCAAGUUGGCAAAGCCUGCCAAAAGUAAAAGGCAAGGAAGAAACUGCGUUAGCGAGCAACACAUUUAAGACACGCUUGUCGAGGUGCUUUGAAGAAAGUGAGUUGAACGACCCCCAUCCUCAAGCAUAA
Non-coding RNA from Odocoileus virginianus texanus, 845 nucleotides. The record is from RefSeq and is a predicted model, not a curated record. NCBI's taxonomy places the organism in Eukaryota, Metazoa, Chordata, Mammalia, Artiodactyla, Cervidae.